RNAcentral lists this long non-coding RNA (1496 nucleotides) under Rhagoletis pomonella (apple maggot). Its description in RNAcentral is "uncharacterized LOC118740999". The record is from RNAcentral. Lineage: Eukaryota; Metazoa; Arthropoda; Insecta; Diptera; Tephritidae.
UGAUGUAUGCAUGAAAAUAUUAUAUCGAUGAAAUGUCCCCUUCAUUUGUAAAUAGCCCCACAAAAGGGAAAUUUCCAUGGCUUAACAACACUGCUUGGAAACAUAAACAAAGUGGCAAAAAUUGGCAGAAACUAUAAAAUGAAGUGAAGUGAAUUACAAAAUAUGCGGCAUUCCAAAAGUUUACGUGCGGUCAUAAAAGCGAGCUACGUAUGUUGCUACGAAGCUCUGCAAUUGUUUAUUUGUGCACAAGUUGGAGCGAUUUGCAAUGGCUUGGAUAAUAAGUGUAACCCCGCUACCUGAUCGUCCUCGCCAGCGAUAUGCUCGAAAAAGACACACCCUGCUAUUUCAAGGAUCAACGCGAAGCAAGCGCAUUUCGCUUUACCUCCAUUGCUCCAUCCAGCCUCAAUACGGUUCGUUUAAACUUACACCACUCACAGUGAAGAAGAGAAGAAGGAUGCAACCGGCAAGGAUACUAAUUCUAAUUCGGUUUCUAUAUUCCCAACAGAGAACUACGAUCCCAUCACAACGCCAUCAACUCCAGAAUCGGCAUCAAAUAAUGCAAUCGCUUUGCAGUGCAUGAAUGCAGCAGAAGCCAUUACCCCUAUCCGCUAAUGUGACGCAAUGUUAAAGUGCAGAGUACAUGUACGAAGCUCAUAUAGUUGUAAGCCAAGGCUUUUUUUCUUGUAAAUGGUUAAAAAUUCUUGUUGUUAAUACUAACAAAAAUAAAGGUAAUUUAAUUACUUUUAUGUUUGUUAUAAAUUCUUUCAAAAAAAUUAACUUGUUUUACAAAAAAAUCCAUGUUUUGUGUAUUGCCUUAUGCGAGUGCAGAGUACAUGUACGAAGUUCACAUAGUUGUAAGCCAAGGCUUUUUUUCUUGUAAAUGGUUAAAAAUUCUUGUUGUUAAUACUAACUAAAAUAAAGGUAAUUUAAUUACUUUUAUGUUUGUUAUAAAUUCUUUCAAAAAAAUUAACUUUUUUUACAAAAAAAUCCAUGUUUUGUGUAUUGCCUUAUGCGAGUGCAGAGUACAUGUACGAAGCUCACAUAGUUGUAAGCCAAGGCUUUUUUUCUUGUAAAUGGUUAAAAAUUCUUGUUGUUAAUACUAACUAAAAUAAAGGUAAUUUAAUUACUUUUAUGUUUGUUAUAAAUUCUUUCAAAAAAUUAACCUUUUUUACAAAAAAAUCCAUGUUUUGUGUAUUGCCUUAUGCGAGUGCAGAGUACAUGUACAAAGUUCACAUAGUUGUAAGCCAAGGCUUUUUUUUUGUAAAUGGUUAAAAAUUCUUGUUAAUACUAAUUACAAUAAAGGUAGUCUAAUUACUUUUCUUUUAUAUAUAAAUUAUUUUAAAUAAAUUCACUUUUGUUAUAAAAAUUUUAAAGUUUUGUGUACUGCCAUAUGCGAGUGUGAAACACAAAGUUGUUAGCCGAGACUUGUUUAAAAGAAAUGUUUCAGAAUCAUGAAUGGUAACACAUUUUAAAAUAAAGGUAAUUUAAUUACCUUU